GGGAAAGUAGCGCGUAACUGGUAGCGUCCCGGACUGUAAAUUCGGUGCCUUAACUGGCCUUGCAGGUUCAAAUCCUGUCUUUCCCCCA
RNAcentral lists this transfer RNA (88 nucleotides) under Flavilitoribacter nigricans DSM 23189 = NBRC 102662. Its description in RNAcentral is "Lewinella nigricans DSM 23189 = NBRC 102662 tRNA-Tyr". It matches the Rfam family "tRNA". From Rfam's summary of the family: Transfer RNA (tRNA) molecules are approximately 80 nucleotides in length. Lineage: Bacteria; Pseudomonadati; Bacteroidota; Saprospiria; Saprospirales; Lewinellaceae. The record is from RNAcentral.